CCUACGGGGGGCAGCAGUGAGGAAUAUUGGUCAAUGGACGAGAGUCUGAACCAGCCAAGUAGCGUGAAGGAUGACUGCCCUAUGGGUUGUAAACUUCUUUUAUAUGGGAAUAAAAUGUUCCACGUGUGGGAUUUUGUAUGUACCAUAUGAAUAAGGAUCGGCUAACUCCGUGCCAGCAGCCGCGGUAAUACGGAGGAUCCGAGCGUUAUCCGGAUUGAUUGGGUUUAAAGGGAGCGUAGGUGGAUUGUUAAGUCAGUUGUGAAAGUUUGCGGCUCAACCGUAAAAUUGCAGUUGAAACUGGCAGUCUUGAGUACAGGAGAGGUGGGCGGAAUUCGUGGUGUAGCGGUGAAAUGCUUAGAUAUCACGAAGAACUCCGAUUGCGAAGGCAGCUCACUGGACUGCAACUGACGCUGAGGCUCGAAAGUGUGGGUAUCAAACAGGAUUAGAUACCCUAGUAGUC
RNAcentral lists this ribosomal RNA (460 nucleotides) under uncultured bacterium. Its description in RNAcentral is "partial 16S ribosomal RNA". It matches the Rfam family "Bacterial small subunit ribosomal RNA", at positions 338 to 795 of the family's 1533-position model. The record is from RNAcentral.